RNAcentral lists this long non-coding RNA (268 nucleotides) under Lathyrus oleraceus (garden pea). RNAcentral's name for it is "Pisum sativum (pea) long non-coding RNA (PSAT_LNC020528)". Lineage: Eukaryota; Viridiplantae; Streptophyta; Magnoliopsida; Fabales; Fabaceae. The record is from RNAcentral.
GAUAUUCCCUAUGCAAAAAUGGAGUCAAAGAGCAACUAGGCCUCAUGCCUUUAGAGUGCUAUAAAAGUCAAAGAGCAACUAGGCCUCCUGCCUUUAGAAUGCUUAAUGCAGUAGAGGAAUUGAAAAGGACCUAUUAUCUAAACUCCCUCUUGUCAAUUCUUUGUUUGCAUUAUAGAACUUUUUGAUGUGUGUGUUAUUAUGCUAGGGAUUCCAACUUGAGCCUAAGUGAAAAACCAUUGUCAUGAGCUUCUAAAGUGAGAGAUAUAAG